GGCGAGCCUGGCGAGGCGGGGAGCCGGGAGCGUGAGCUGGGAACGUGGGAGCUGCCAGCCGAGCCGGCACCGCAGAGGGCAUGUGAGCCAGAAACGGGGUCCUGCCAUUGGGAAAAGGGCGCCGGCACCCCGGGGCCCUGUGAGCCGGGAGGGCGGGCGGUCGUCCUCGCUUGAGGGGCGGGCAGCUGGCCGUGGAACCCCGGCCCCUUCUGCGAGGGCCCUGCGGGAGCCGGGAGAAAGGUGCGAGACGCCAGCGGUGGGCUUGGCCAGUGCCUGGGCCCUGCUGCCGCCGGGCUCCUAAUUGUUUUUAAUUUGAGGAUAAUGACAAUAUCUUGAUUUUCCUACCCAACACUUUGGCUUCUGAAGUGACAUUUAUCUAAAAACUGCUGCAUUGUUCCAGGUCAGUCUGUAGCCACAUGUUUGUGUUUCUUCCUUCCGUUCUCCCCUAGGUGUUUAUUGGAGUAGAGUUGAUUUACAGUAUUGUCUCAGUGUUGGCUGUGCAGUGAAGUGAAUCAGUUAUGUGUCUAUAUGUGUAUCUGCUCUCUUUAGAAACGUUUUUUUCCAUACGGGCUGUCACAGAAUGUGGCGUCCCCUGUGCUGUACAGUUGGCCCUCGUUAGUUAUGUUUCAUUCACAAUAGUGUGUAGGGUCUUUGUCAGUCCCAGCCUGCCAGCCACAUGUGUUUUUCUUUGCUGCAUGUGUGUGUGUAAAACUGCUAGAGAGGGUCAGAAACAGGCUGAAUUGUGGGGGUUUUUUGUUUGUUUGUUUUUUUACCUCUUCGGCCUUGAAAAGAUAGUUCUUGAAACUUGAAAGUAUUACUGAGUUUGGAUUGUAUACUUGAUCUGCAAGGAACAUUUCAAGAGACACAAAAGCAUGGGGGGGUAGUGAUAAAUAUGUGGGCUUAUGACAACAGCAGUUUGCUUUAGUGAUGUUUUAACAAGGACUUCCCUGGUGGCUCAGUUGGUAAAGAAUCCGCCUGCAAUGCACGAGACCCCGGUUUGAUUCCUGGGUUGGAAAGAUCCCCUGGAGAAGGGAAAGAAAGGCUACCCACUCCAGUAUUCUGGCCUGGAGAGUUCCAUGGACUAUAUAGUGCAUGGGGCCGCAAAGACUCGGACUCAACUGAGCGACUUUCACUUCUAUGCUAAUAAUACAAAGCAUUUUGGAUGUGCAGAGUACCUUUAUGGCAAUCGUACUUGAAGAAACAGAAAGUAAGGCUGCCCUGUUUGAAGGUGGCACCAAUGGAAGGAGAUAGGAAGGGCCUGCUCUCUUCGUUGCAGGCGGCUGCUGCCUGGUGAUCCAGCACUGUGUCUGAAGUCAGCAUCCUGGUUCUGACACUUACCAGCUGUGGGAUCUUGGCAAAACCUGUCUUACCAGGUUAAAUGUGGGCAGUUUUUAAAAGUAGGAUAUUUUCUUAGAAAGGGUUUAGGAAAUCUUCAGGCAACUGAGUAUUAAUUUUAAGAGAGUAUCUAUGGGAGCCUUCCACAGAAGUAUGUGGAUCCUUUAUCUGGCGCUGCUGGCCAAAGAGGAAAAAAGACAUUAAAUGGACAAGUAGAAGGAUGUAUUUUCCAAAUAAAACUGAGCUGUAACAUGGAGCUAUAACAAUUUCAGAGAGCUGUGACGCGCCGAGAGGUUUAACGUCUGGUGCUUCAAAUUUUUGCUGUGACAAGACAGAACCGAGGAAAUUACACACUCCCUUGACAACCUUAAUAGAUAAAGAAAAGGUAAUUUUAACAAAACGUACAGAUUUGUCAGCAGAACUAGACUUAGAAAUGACAUGAGAGGAAGAACAAGAAACAUCUGAUGGAGAUGAAAAUAACCAUUCACAGAUUGUGUUAGCUUGUUGAAAAUUCGGGAUGCAAUUCUUUCAUGUGAAAGAUUGACCUUAAAGCAAGAAGAAGAGAAUAGAAGAAAUGCUGACAUGUUAUAUGAAAAAAUUAGGGAGCAGUUAAGAAGAAAGGAAGACCAAUAUAGUAAAGAAGCUGAAAUGAAACAGCAACUUGAACUCACUCUCAGAGCACUAGAUGGAACUGAAGACUGAGAAAGGAUCUGAAUCAGUGUCUCUCCAGGUUAUAGAAGAGUGACAUGACUCAGGAGCAGCUUUCUGGAGAACGGAAUGCCAGAAUCUUACAGGAGGGAAUCCUGGCCAAUCACCUUGGCAAAGAAAAGCAGAAAGAAGUGGCUGAUAAAGAAAUGAACUCUUAGACAUUACAAAAAGGUAUUGAAAGUUAUGGAAGCAGCAAAUAAUCUCAUGGUUGUCUAAGAAGAGCUCUCCAAGUUUUAUCUAUCACCAUUCGUGUAUGCACCGUGAGUGAAGUAAGAGGCUUAUUCUGUGUUGAUGUGUUUGCACCAGAGAAGUGGCCGUGGUCUGAUGUACGAGGACAGGUGGAGUUGGAAGACCUGCUGCUUAUUAUAUUUCUAGCUUCUUCCUUCCCAGAGUCGUUAUAGCUGAUGAGCUAACUGAUGUUUUUGUAGAAGUGCUUAGUGCAGCUGUCAAUAGGUUUAAUUCUUGUAAUUGACUAUUAAGAUGUUAGAACAGUAACAUAUUCUCAAGAAAAAAACUUUUUACAAAAUGUAAUCUCUUUAAAUUUGUACAGAGCUAAGGCUCUUAUUGUAGGGCAGCUGUACAGGUUAGGGAUCAGCUGUAUAGUUUUUAAAGCUAGCAAGUGGUGGUGUGUACUGGAGGUAUUUGUCAUAUUUGUUGGGAUAGUUUUAUUUCUAUUCAUGUCAAUUUGAAUUAAUUUGGGAAACAUUUCAGCAUUGAAUCAUUUAUUUUUAUAGCCUCUCAACUGUUUCAAGGCAUCUACUUCUAAUACAAUCAUAAUUUGGAACUCAA
Molecule: long non-coding RNA, 2832 nt
Organism: Cervus elaphus (red deer)
Lineage: Eukaryota; Metazoa; Chordata; Mammalia; Artiodactyla; Cervidae
Exons: 7
Source: RefSeq, a predicted model, not a curated record